UGGGGUGUAGCUUAAUGGUGAGAGCAGCAGUCUUAUAAGCUGUGAAUAUGGGUUCAACUCCCAUCACCCCGACCA
RNAcentral lists this transfer RNA (75 nucleotides) under Lentisphaeria bacterium. Its description in RNAcentral is "tRNA-Ile". It matches the Rfam family "tRNA". From Rfam's summary of the family: Transfer RNA (tRNA) molecules are approximately 80 nucleotides in length. Their secondary structure includes four short double-helical elements and three loops (D, anti-codon, and T loops). RNAcentral also lists the same sequence under 1 other name. The record is from RNAcentral. Lineage: Bacteria; Pseudomonadati; Lentisphaerota; Lentisphaeria.